This 297-nucleotide ribosomal RNA is filed under the name uncultured bacterium. RNAcentral's name for it is "partial 16S ribosomal RNA". It matches the Rfam family "Bacterial small subunit ribosomal RNA", at positions 475 to 776 of the family's 1533-position model. The record is from RNAcentral.
CUAUGCGCCUUGCCAGCCCGCUCAGGUGUGCCAGCAGCCGCGGUAAUACGGAGGAUGCGAGCGUUAUCCGGAUUUAUGGGUUUAAAGGGUGCGUAGGCGGAUUUUUAAGUCAGCGGUAAAAUGUCCGGGCUCAACCCGGGCCGGCCGUUGAAACUGGGGAUCUUGAGUGGGCGAGAAGUAUGCGGAAUGCGUGGUGUAGCGGUGAAAUGCAUAGAUAUCACGCAGAACUCCGAUUGCGAAGGCAGCAUACCGGCGCCCGACUGACGCUGAGGCACGAAAGCGUGGGGAUCGAACAGG